GACGAAGGUGGCGAGCGUUGUUCGGAAUCACUGGGCAUAAAGAGCACGUAGGCGGCUAAGUCAGUCGGAUGUGAGAUACCUCGGCUCAACCGAGGAACUGCGUCCGAUACUGCUUGGCUUGAGGUCCGGAGGGGAGAGUGGAAUUCCCGGUGGAGCGGUGAAAUGCGUAGAGAUCGGGAAGAACGCCGGCGGCGAAAGCGACUCUCUGGUCGGAAUCUGACGCUGAGGUGCGAAAGCUAGGGGAGCAAACGGG
RNAcentral lists this ribosomal RNA (253 nucleotides) under uncultured bacterium. RNAcentral's name for it is "partial 16S ribosomal RNA". It matches the Rfam family "Bacterial small subunit ribosomal RNA", at positions 524 to 776 of the family's 1533-position model. The record is from RNAcentral.